RNAcentral lists this ribosomal RNA (440 nucleotides) under uncultured bacterium. RNAcentral's name for it is "partial 16S ribosomal RNA". It matches the Rfam family "Bacterial small subunit ribosomal RNA", at positions 338 to 795 of the family's 1533-position model. The record is from RNAcentral.
CCUACGGGAGGCUGCAGUGGGGGAUAUUGCACAAUGGGGGGAACCCUGAUGCAGCGACGCCGCGUGGGUGAAGAAGCGCCUCGGCGCGUAAAGCCCUGUCAGCAGGGAAGAAAAUGACGGUACCUGACGAAGAAGCCCCGGCUAACUACGUGCCAGCAGCCGCGGUAAUACGUGGGGGGCAAGCGUUAUCCGGAUUUACUGGGUGUAAAGGGGGCGCAGACGGCGAUGCAAGCCAGGAGUGAAAGCCCGGGGCCCAACCCCGGGACUGCUCUUGGAACUGCGUGGCUGGAGUGCAGGAGGGGCAGGCGGAAUUCCUGGUGUAGCGGUGAAAUGCGUAGAUAUCAGGAGGAACACCGGUGGCGAAGGCGGCCUGCUGGACUGCAACUGACGUUGAGGCCCGAAAGCGUGGGGAGCAAACAGGAUUAGAUACCCGAGUAGUC